UACAGAGGGGGCAAGCGUUGUUCGGAAUUACUGGGCUUAAAGGGCGCGUAGGCGGCCUGCUAAGUCGAACGUGAAAUCCCUGGGCUCAACCCAGGAACUGCGUCCGAUACUGGUUGGCUUGAAUCCGGGAGAGGGAUGUGGAAUUCCAGGUGUAGCGGUGAAAUGCGUAGAUAUCAGGAGGAACACCGAUGGCGAAGGCAGCGCGCUGGGACGGUACUGACGCUGAGGCGCGAAAGCGUGGGGAGCGAACAGG
Molecule: ribosomal RNA, 253 nt
Filed under: uncultured bacterium
Lineage: Bacteria
Description: partial 16S ribosomal RNA
Rfam family: Bacterial small subunit ribosomal RNA
Source: RNAcentral